Molecule: long non-coding RNA, 1186 nt
Filed under: Struthio camelus australis
Lineage: Eukaryota; Metazoa; Chordata; Aves; Struthioniformes; Struthionidae
Description: lncRNA (ENSSCUG00000007742.1)
Source: RNAcentral
GGGAUGAGGGGACUCGGCUGUGUCCUCGGCCGCGGUGGUGGCAUCAGCAUCGCCCUCAGAAGUGAGGGGACCUGGCCACGUCCUCGGUGGCCGUGGUGGUGGCCGUGGCCUCGCUCUUGAAGGUGAGGGGUGCUGGCCAUGUCGUGAUGACGUCCGUCGCGUCCCCCUCGAAGGCGAAGGGACCUGGCCGUGUCCUCGGUGGCUACGGCGUCACCUGCGAAGAUGAGGGGCUGCGGCCACGUCCUCGGGGUCCACGACGCCACCCUUGAAAGCGAGGGACUGAACCGUGUCCUCGACGUCCAUGGCGGUGACCACGAGGCGCCAUGUCCAUGUCCUCGCUCUCCGUGGUGUCACCCGCGCAGACGAGACGCUGUGUCCAUGUCCUUGCUCUCCAUGGUGUCACCCUCGAAGACGAGGCGCCAUGGCCAUGUCCGUGGUGUCACCCGCGCAGACGAGACGCUGUGUCCAUGUCCUUGCUCUCCAUGGUGUCACCCUCGAAGACGAGGCGCCAUGGCCAUGUCCUCGCUGUCUGUGCUGUCACCCGCGCAGACGAGACACUGUGUCCAUGUCCUCACUGUCCGUGGUGUCACCCACGAAGCUGCCAUGUCCACAUCCGUGCCCUCGCUGUCCAUGGUGUCACCCUCGAAGACGAGGCACCGUGGCCAUGUCCUCGGUGUCCGUGCUGUCACCUGCGAAGAUGAGGGCACCUGGCUGUGCCCUUGGUGUCCAUGGUGUCACUCGGGAAGGUGAGAGGCCCCAGCCAUGUCCUCGGUGCCCACGGUGUCACCCUCGAAGACGAGGCGCCGUGGCUGUGCCCUCGGUGUCCAUGUUGUCACCUAUGAGGAUGAGGGCACCUGGCCGUGCCCUCAGUGUCCACGUUGUCACCUGUGAAGAUGAGGGCACUUGACUGUGCCCUCGGUGUCCGUGUUGUCACCUGUGAAGACGAGGGCACCUGGCUGUGUCCUCGGGGUCCGUGGUGUCACCUGCGAAGACGAGGGCACCUGGCCGCGCCCUUGGCGUCCACAACGUCACCCUCGAACAUGAGGGCACCCGGCCACGUCCUCGGUUUCCCCCUCGUAGACGAGGCGCCGCGGCGUCCCCCGCGAAGGCCGCGCGCGUCCCGGCGCGUCAUACCUCGGACUCGAGGCUGGAGAAGUGGGCGGAGCCGCGGCGGGCGCCCAGCUCG